This 592-nucleotide ribosomal RNA is filed under the name uncultured bacterium. Its description in RNAcentral is "bacterial SSU rRNA". It matches the Rfam family "Bacterial small subunit ribosomal RNA", at positions 284 to 893 of the family's 1533-position model. The record is from RNAcentral.
UAGCUGGUCUGAGAGGAUGACCAGCCACAUUGGGACUGAGACACGGCCCAAACUCCUACGGGAGGCAGCAGUGGGGAAUAUUGGACAAUGGGCGAAAGCCUGAUCCAGCAAUGCCGCGUGUGUGAAGAAGGUCUUCGGAUUGUAAAGCACUUUCGGCGGGGACGAUGAUGACGGUACCCGCAGAAGAAGCCCCGGCUAACUUCGUGCCAGCAGCCGCGGUAAUACGAAGGGGGCUAGCGUUGCUCGGAAUGACUGGGCGUAAAGGGCGCGUAGGCGGAUGACACAGUCAGAUGUGAAAUUCCCGGGCUCAACCUGGGGGCUGCAUUUGAUACGUGUUGUCUAGAGUGAGGAAGAGGGUCGUGGAAUUCCCAGUGUAGAGGUGAAAUUCGUAGAUAUUGGGAAGAACACCGGUGGCGAAGGCGGCGACCUGGUCCUUGACUGACGCUGAGGCGCGAAAGCGUGGGGAGCAAACAGGAUUAGAUACCCUGGUAGUCCACGCUGUAAACGAUGUGUGCUGGAUGUUGGGCGACCUAGUCGCUCAGUGUCGUAGCUAACGCGAUAAGCACACCGCCUGGGGAGUACGGCCGCAAAG